CCUACGGUGGGCAGCAGUGAGGAAUAUUGGUCAAUGGUCGGGAGACUGAACCAGCCAAGCCGCGUGAGGGAUGAAUGUACUGAGUAUCGUAAACCUCUUUUGUCAGGGAACAAAGGCGGGGACGUGUCCCCGUUUGAGUGUACCUGAUGAAUAAGCAUCGGCUAACUCCGUGCCAGCAGCCGCGGUAAUACGGAGGAUGCGAGCGUUAUCCGGAUUUAUUGGGUUUAAAGGGUGCGGAGAUGGUUUGUUAAGUCAGCGGUGAAAGUUUGGGGCUCAACCGCAGCAUUGCCUUUGAUACUGGCAGUCUCGAGUAGAGGUGAAGUAGGCGGAAUGCGCGGUGUAGCGGUGAAAUGCUUAGAUAUCACGAAGAACUCCGAUUGCGAAGGCAGCAUGCCAGCUCCACACUGACGCUGAGGCACGAAAGCGUGGGUAUCGAACAGGAUUAGAUACCCUUGUAGUC
This 460-nucleotide ribosomal RNA is filed under the name uncultured bacterium. RNAcentral describes it as "partial 16S ribosomal RNA". It matches the Rfam family "Bacterial small subunit ribosomal RNA", at positions 338 to 795 of the family's 1533-position model. The record is from RNAcentral.